GAUGAACGCUGGCGGCGUGCCUAAUACAUGCAAGUCGAGCGAACAGACGAGGAGCUUGCUCCUCUGACGUUAGCGGCGGACGGGUGAGUAACACGUGGAUAACCUACCUAUAAGACUGGGAUAACUUCGGGAAACCGGAGCUAAUACCGGAUAAUAUAUUGAACCGCAUGGUUCAAUAGUGAAAGACGGUUUUGCUGUCACUUAUAGAUGGAUCCGCGCCGCAUUAGCUAGUUGGUAAGGUAACGGCUUACCAAGGCAACGAUGCGUAGCCGACCUGAGAGGGUGUUCGGCCACACUGGAACUGAGGCACGGUCCAGACUCCUACGGGAGGCAGCAGUAGGGAAUCUUCCGCAAUGGGCGAAAGCCUGACGGAGCCACGCCGCGUGAGUGAUGAAGGUCUUCGGAUCGUAAAACUCUGUUAUUAGGGAAGAACAAAUGUGUAAGUAACUAUGCACGUCUUGACGGUACCUAAUCAGAAAGCCACGGCUAACUACGUG
This 497-nucleotide ribosomal RNA is filed under the name uncultured bacterium. RNAcentral describes it as "partial 16S ribosomal RNA". It matches the Rfam family "Bacterial small subunit ribosomal RNA", at positions 28 to 507 of the family's 1533-position model. The record is from RNAcentral.